This 74-nucleotide transfer RNA is filed under the name bacterium. RNAcentral's name for it is "tRNA-Gln". It matches the Rfam family "tRNA". From Rfam's summary of the family: Transfer RNA (tRNA) molecules are approximately 80 nucleotides in length. Their secondary structure includes four short double-helical elements and three loops (D, anti-codon, and T loops). Further hydrogen bonds mediate the characteristic L-shaped molecular structure. tRNAs have two regions of fundamental functional importance: the anti-codon, which is responsible for specific mRNA codon recognition, and the 3' end, to which the tRNAs corresponding amino acid is attached (by aminoacyl-tRNA synthetases). tRNAs cope with the degeneracy of the genetic code in two manners: having more than one tRNA (with a specific anti-codon) for a particular amino acid; and 'wobble' base-pairing, i.e. permitting non-standard base-pairing at the 3rd anti-codon position. The record is from RNAcentral.
UCGGGAUUCGCCAAGCGGUAAGGCAAGGGACUCUGAAUCCCUCACCGUAGGUUCGAAUCCUACAUCCCGAACCA